UCUAUGAUUAUUUGUAACGUUUUUUAGUCUACCGUUAUCUAUGAGUGUUAUGUAUGUUUAUUUUUAAUAACGCAUAUUUAUUACUGUUAUGCUUUGUGUUAUGUAUGGGUAUAUUUAAUAACAGUAAAUAUUACCGUUAUUAAUUUAUGUUAUGUAUUAGAUUUUAAUAUGAUUACAAAAUUCAAAACCCUAAAGUUCCAAAUGAUCUCUGUCUCUCUCUCGUUAGCCUACACCGCCCCCAGUUUGCCUCGCUGCCUCCCCGGUCUGGAAAUCCUCCACCCCGCCCUCCUUCUCUUCUCUGGCGUCGUUGGCCGCGGUGCCUGGAUCAAGCGAAGUCCUGCCUCCAUUUCUCCUCAUAUCUCAACAGAUUCUCACCUCUAUCUUUCUCAUCCCUCAAUUUCUCAGUUCAUGCCCUAGAUCUUCUUCGAAAAUGUUGUCACCUCAUGGAUCUCCGCCGCGAUUAGCUCCGGCGGGGCUGGCUGUCGCCCCCUCUGAAAUUGGCGAGGCAAUCGCCGUCCUAUGUUCUCACCUACUCAUUCACACGCACAUGACGAAGACAAGGGUUGAGCCCUGACCUCUCGGCUCGACUGCUGUCGCUCUGUCUCACGAGCGCCUUCGCCGUCAGCGUUGGGUUCUGAAAUUGGCAAGGCUGUCGUGCUCUCCUCCCUGUGUUCGUCCGGCGGGUAAAGUAAGAAGAAGAAGAAGAGGCUUAAGUUCAAGAUUAAGGUCUCUAAUCCCUAUUUGAGGAGGUUAAUCAGCGGGGGGAUCGCGGGGGCGUUUCUAGGACUGCAGUGGCGCCGUUGGAGACGAUUAGGACUCAUUUGAUGGUUGGGAGCAGUGGGAAUUCGAGCACUGAGGUGUGGAAGGGGUUGUUUAGGGGCAAUUUUGUCAAUGUGAUUCGCGUUGAGCCUAGCAAAACCAUGGAGGUAUAUGAUUUAGAGGGAUUUUUUUGUCUAUAUAUAUAUUGUUUUCUAGUGUUGAUUGUGUAUAAUUUGAUGUAGUUUUUGCUUUGAGUUUAUUGCAAUGUGAUUGCUAGUGAAUGCUUUGUCCUUUCUAUUGUGUUGUUGUGAGGGAUGAAAAGGGUUGUUUAGGUGCAAUUUGGCUAUAUAUAUUGCUUUCUAUUGUUGAUUGUGUGUUUAUGUAGUUUUGUUGAAAGGCAAAGUACCAUUACUCAUUCUUCCUGCUGCUCUGGUAAUUUAUCGUGUUUGAUGUUCUACUUAUGUUAUGCACUCCAGCUGUGUGAAUAUGUAGUCAUAUCCCCCUCCAAAAAAGAAGUAGUCAUAUUCUUUGUAGAUUGAAAGAGAUUAAGAUUUUGUUUGUAUUUAAGAGAUAUCAGGGCCUCAUGGAGUCCAAUCAAAUGGAGACUUAAAUCGAGCCUAAUCUCCCAACUCUCUGCAAUCGACCGUGGUCUGAGCAUCCACCCAUGCUGCAAUCGACCGCUCGCUGAAGCAACAAUUAACUCAUCUUCUCUUGCUGAUUUCUGCGUAUAUAGGUAAGAAUUAGGAGUUUUAUUGGCUGAGCUUUAAGGAGUAGAGUUAGUGGCUUGGAGCAUCCACCUAUGACAGAUUUCAAUUUCCUGUGAAUCACUUCAUCAUACCUCAAUGGCAUAUCCUUUCCAGGUCUUUUCAGGGCCAACUGACUUGAAUCUCUGAAAUAGAUGCUGAAGAACUUAGAUUCUCCAAUCAGAGUUGUUGAGGCUGCAGAGAAGGGAUACACACAUAUGUUUGAGAUUGCAGAGACAUGUUUUGGAGAGAUGGGGAGCCAUGUAGGAUAGUUGGAGGAGACUUGCAUUAUUUUCGAGUGCAUCCUGAGGUUUGUGGUGGAUUAAAUGAGCCGUACGUUGAGCUGAAGAGUCUUGUGAAUUAACAAGAAAAGUUGUACCGGAUGGCUAGCUAGUUGCAUAUUUAAUAUGUUUAGUAUUUUUGUAAGGAAUAAUAGUAUAGAUAAAGCAGUUGUUGAAUUUUGACUAUAUUCAAAUCUUGUAUGAAUUCUUUUUUAUGAUAAUAAUAUAAAAUUAAAUAUUUUGGAUGAUA
This is a long non-coding RNA of Salvia miltiorrhiza (redroot sage), 2033 nucleotides long. RefSeq lists it as uncharacterized. The record is from RefSeq and is a predicted model, not a curated record. The transcript is spliced from 5 exons. NCBI's taxonomy places the organism in Eukaryota, Viridiplantae, Streptophyta, Magnoliopsida, Lamiales, Lamiaceae.